CAGCAGCCGCGGGAAUACGAAGGGGGCUAGCGUUGUUCGGAUUUACUGGGCGUAAAGCGCACGUAGGCGGACAUUUAAGUCAGGGGUGAAAUCCCAGAGCUCAACUCUGGAACUGCCUUUGAUACUGGGUGUCUGGAGUAUGGAAGAGGUAAGUGGAAUUCCGAGUGUAGAGGUGAAAUUCGUAGAUAUUCGGAGGAACACCAGUGGCGAAGGCGGCUUACUGGUCCAUUACUGACGCUGAGGUGCGAAAGCGUGGGGAGCAAACAGGAUUAGAUACCCCUGUAGUCCCUGUCUCUUAUAC
RNAcentral lists this ribosomal RNA (301 nucleotides) under uncultured bacterium. RNAcentral describes it as "partial 16S ribosomal RNA". It matches the Rfam family "Bacterial small subunit ribosomal RNA", at positions 509 to 807 of the family's 1533-position model. The record is from RNAcentral.